Molecule: long non-coding RNA, 316 nt
Filed under: Pelobates cultripes (western spadefoot toad)
Lineage: Eukaryota; Metazoa; Chordata; Amphibia; Anura; Pelobatidae
Source: RNAcentral
CAUGAAUAUACGUACCGUAUGAAGUUAAACAGAAAUACGUCUUUAAUGGGUAUAUUGGUGAACUAAGGCAGUCAAAUGCGACCGCGAGGAGUAAUACGGUUUUGGUAAAUACCUAGCGUGUGGAACAGACAAUUAGAGAGUUUAGGAACUGCCAAAAGUACGAGAUGUAAACUUCAUAUUGUAUAAUGUAACAGAGCAGAUGGAUAAUUUUUAGUCCAAUCAGGGUGCAAUUACUCUAUUUGUCAGACAUUACUUCUACUGUAUUGUGAUGCUAACGGAGACCAGAUUGCAAACAUAACAUGAGUGACAUACAUUU